Non-coding RNA from Triticum urartu, 3473 nucleotides. NCBI's taxonomy places the organism in Eukaryota, Viridiplantae, Streptophyta, Magnoliopsida, Poales, Poaceae. The record is from RefSeq and is a predicted model, not a curated record.
CAGCCGCCACCCCCAACCCUCUCGCUCCCCCUCCGUUUCAAUCUCUCGGUCCCCAACCACCCAGCCGCCGCCGCCGUCCUCCGUCCUCUCCCCCAACCCCGGCCACCGGCGAUCCCGCCCCUCCCCUUCUCUCCCACGGCCACGGUCGAAUCCUCGCUCAUGACAUAGACCUAGCCGCAUGGCACGGCCAUGGCCAUGGCGGCGGCCAGAUCCACCCCUCCCUCAUCCCCUCACCGCCGCCACCUCCUCCCCGUCCUGCAGCGGCGCGUCCCGCCACCACCUCCUUCCUCGACUGGUUCUCCUCCCGUCCGCGUUCCCUUCCCCACCCGUCUCGCCUGCUCCUUCUCCCACCCCGAUUCACCCAACCAAACCAGAGCAGACCGCAACACUCCACUACUCCUUCUCCCAUCCUGAUUCCUCCCCAAUUCCAGCCGCCGCCGCGCCGCCCGCCAAAAUCCUCUCCCCCAGCCCCACUGCCGCCGGUCGGCGACCCCGUCUCCCCAAGCCCCUCCGGCGACCCUUCCCCGUGGGCGCCCCAAACCCUAGCCUCUCGCGGACGGGGCGACAGAGAUGGCCAGUGAUCCUUCCUCCAUGCGUGUUCCAGCGAAGACUGCGCCAGAUCCCUUCCCUCGUAGUACAUGGGGGAUCUCGCCGCCGCCGCCGCGGUGGCCCUUGACGAUGGCAAGGUAGGAGGCGGCCAGAUGCAGAUCUCAUCUCUUCUUGUUCUGCACGGGCCAGGCCACGACCACGGCAAGCGGAAGGAUGCACGACGGGCUGGACGACAAGGUGGAGAUCCUGGACACACGGAGGGGCUACCAAACCGGUGUUGCGCCAAGAACGACUCCGCAGCCCAUACAGGAGGUGGACUGCAUACUGGAACUGCCUCACAUUGGAUGACAAAUUUGGUCCCCGUGCCAUCCAUGGAGGAGUUUCAGGAAGCCUACUCGACCUCUCUCCUUGCCGCGACCCAACCAUAAAGUACCUUUCUUAACGUGAUUUGCCCGCGCAGAUUUUUAGUCUGUUUACACCUGAACAUAACACUCUGUUUAAUAAACCAAACACAUAGUUUACUUGCAGCACCAUAUGGUCUGAUGAUGAAUGAUGCCAGAUUUUCAGUCUGCUAGCACUGGAACAUAACACCAUGUGUUUUAUAGCACCACUUUGCAUCACAGGACAAUGCAUGGUUUUCGUAUUAGAAGUUUGAAUGUCAUAUUACUCGAAUGCAGAAAUUGACCAAAGGUAUCAGUUGAAGUCACGUUAUCAUCAUUAGUCUGUUGAAUAUAACUUACAGGGGUUUUGGUCCAGUUGGUGACUUGCUUAGCUUGCUGCAGAACCCGUAGAAUAUCUACUUUAUGCUUUCGAUGUAUCAUUCUUUGAAAACUCAGCUCCUACUAUUCACCUUGUAGAUUUUUUAUUCUGCAACAUAUUUGGUUUUGUCAUAAAAUGAUUGGAUUAUUCUGAAGAAGUAUAGUGUAACCUUCCAAUGCGAGAAAAUGGUCUUGCGGUCUUAAUUUAGUCUGAUUAAAAAAUCGGUCGUGCUCACAAGCAGUAUAUAUGCACUUGCUUGGUUAAUUGUUAGCAGUUUAGCUAUACACAAGCUGACUGACAUUGCACAAUAAAAUGUAGUAGAUUUGCAGCCCACUAGCACAAACUGACUGAUAGCAAUCCUCUCUCUCGUAUAGAAGUACAUGCUAUCUAAUGUGAGCAAAAUCAUUGCGUAAAUACAGGUACAACAUAUGACUAAUUUACACAGUAUACUAAAAUUGGACCCCAUGCAUUCAGUUUCAGAACUUGAAACUAACCUGACUAGUAGCUUCUCUGUCUUCCAGUUUACAACUUCCAGGAUAUCAAUCAUUCAUUCUCAAGUUGCUACCCGACAACUACAGGACGCCUUGUUCUGGAAUUUUCAUGUUCUUUUUUAUGUGUAUAUGCCUUCCUCUUCGAUUUCAAGCUUGUGAUUGAGGUUAAUUGAUGGUGGUGCUUGCGCGAUGCAGAUGUUGGGGAUGGCGGAGAAGGAGAUGGAGUAUCGGGUCGAGCUUUGAACCUUUAUUGUGUUGAAUUCUUACUAGACACAGAACAAAAUUCGGCUCACAUGUUUCUUUAUGCUCUGAAUGUUCAACAGUUUUGAACCUUUAAGCUACUGUUUUGACAUUAAGUGGAUUACAUGAAUCAGUUUGAUACUAUUUUGGUGUUGCUUUAUCUUUAAACUAGUCCCCCUUUCUCAUGGUCACUUGUAUUUGCCGAUUGUAAGGAUUUUCUCCAUGGAAAGAAAAUAUCAGUAGAUUUCAAAUUCUAAACUGAUGCACCAUGAACAAAAACUUAUUCCCUGUUGUGGUGGGAUUAUUCCACUAUUUGCUUGCUGCUGUACCAUGGUAUCUAUAGGUUAUUAGUAUUGUUGAUCCCGACCAUGAGCUUGAAUGGUAUAGUAUUAGAAGAGCAUCAGUUUAAUUUGUAGCAGUGAGGUCACUGAUUUUUGUUCUUUCAUGCCAUGGUACGAUUAUGAUUGGAAUGGCAUCCACUUAACAUGUUAGAAUGCACUGAUUGUUUGUGCUGAUUCCUGGUCUAUAUCAGGGGUAUAAGUUUAUUACUUUCUAUCUAGGUUUGUUAGCUAUGGAUGAUUGCAGUGAUGUUCUUCUAAAUUUGCAAGAUAAAUGGCAUGUUCCUUGCUCUCACCUAUGAGUAGGUGUGAUAUUGUGUUAAGAGUCAUUUGUUUUGUAAGUUUUCAUCACAUGAGAUGUUCCUUAGAUGGAAAUGAGUGUUAUCGAGGAAAUGGUUUUAGGUAAACCAGCACCUCUCAUCAGUCUUUCUUACUCAGUGUUAUCAUCUGCUUGGUUUUAGGUGAUGGACUCAUUUCCCGCGGUGGUUUUGCUUGCGUUUUCCUGAUGUUGUUUCGUGUCUGGUUCUGAUUCGCUUUGCUGCUAUUAUUUCUGUGGCGAUGCAGACUUGUGGUGACGAAGAGCAAGGCCGAGAAGGACUCCAACAAGCCCAAGCGCCCUCUGAGCGCCGUCUUAGUCCUCAUGGACAGCUUCAGGAAGGACUCCAACUUCAAGCAUGUCCCCAUGGUUGGCAAGGGCGGUGGUGAGAAGUGGAAGUAUCUUGAGUGAUGUUGAGAAGGCUCCCUAAUUGCCAAGGCCAAGUACACCAAGAAGAUCGACACCUACGACAACACACUGGCAGGAGAGGCGUCUGACGACUCUAACAAGUCCCAGUCUGAGGUGAGCGAUGCAAAGCAGCAGGAGGGGGAGGGGGUCUCUGAAAUGUCACCGCUUUCGCUCAUUGCUAGUGUCACCGAUGGAUUAUGGGUAGUUGCUGUUAGUUUAGCUCCUUAGUAGUAUCUCCUAGUCUUUCAGGCGGCUGCUGCUGGUAGCUAUAAUCUAUUCACCGAUUGAUGAUGGAUUGUUGAAUGUACUUACUGUUGUACCCGUGGCUGUUUAAGGAAUACUUUUGUGUUGAAAGAAAUAAAAUGGUCUUGA